AGAGUUUGAUCCUGGCUCAGAAUGAACGCUGGCGGCGUGCCUAACACAUGCAAGUCGAACGAGAAACUCCGGGCUUGCUCGGAGGAGUAAAGUGGCGCACGGGUGAGUAACGCGUGGGUAACCUGCCCUUCAACCCGGGAUAACUUCGCGAAAGCGUUGCUAAUACCGGAUAUUGUCCCUGAGACUGUGGUUUUGGGGAUGAAAGGUGACCUCUUCAUGAAAGUUGCUGUUGAGGGAGGGGCUCGCGUACCAUUAGCUUGUUGGUAGGGUAAAGGCCUACCAAGGCCGCGAUGGUUAGCUGGUCUGAGAGGAUGAUCAGCCACACUGGAACUGAAACACGGUCCAGACUCCUACGGGAGGCAGCAGUGGGGAAUUUUGCGCAAUGGGGGAAACCCUGACGCAGCAACGCCGUGUGAGUGAAGAAGGCUUUCGGGUCGUAAAGCUCUGUCAAGUGGGAAAAAGGCCUUUCUGUGAACAGCGGGAAGGAUUGAUGGUACCACUAGAGGAAGCACCGGCUAACUCCGUGCCAGCAGCCGCGGUAAUACGGAGGGUGCGAGUGUUGUUCGGAAUUACUGGGCGUAAAGAGCGUGUAGGCGGUUUGGUAAGUCAGGUGUGAAAGCCCUGGGCUCAACCCAGGAAGUGCACUUGAAACUGUCGGGCUUGAGUACGGGAGAGGGAAGCGGAAUUCCUGGUGUAGAGGUGAAAUUCGUAGAUAUCAGGAGGAACACCGGUGGCGAAGGCGGCUUCCUGGACCGAUACUGACGCUGAGAGCGAAAGCGUGGGGAGCAAACAGGAUUAGAUACCCUAGUAGUCC
This 814-nucleotide ribosomal RNA is filed under the name uncultured bacterium. RNAcentral's name for it is "bacterial SSU rRNA". It matches the Rfam family "Bacterial small subunit ribosomal RNA", at positions 8 to 796 of the family's 1533-position model. The record is from RNAcentral.